GCUCCGGUGGCCCAGUGGUUCAAGUGUCCGCCUCAGAUGAGAGAGGUGGUGGGUUCGAUUCCCGGCCGAGGCA
Molecule: non-coding RNA, 73 nt
Organism: Potamilus streckersoni
Lineage: Eukaryota; Metazoa; Mollusca; Bivalvia; Unionida; Unionidae
Source: the annotation of a GenBank genome assembly